RNAcentral lists this transfer RNA (68 nucleotides) under chicken gut metagenome. It matches the Rfam family "tRNA". From Rfam's summary of the family: Transfer RNA (tRNA) molecules are approximately 80 nucleotides in length. Their secondary structure includes four short double-helical elements and three loops (D, anti-codon, and T loops). Further hydrogen bonds mediate the characteristic L-shaped molecular structure. tRNAs have two regions of fundamental functional importance: the anti-codon, which is responsible for specific mRNA codon recognition, and the 3' end, to which the tRNAs corresponding amino acid is attached (by aminoacyl-tRNA synthetases). tRNAs cope with the degeneracy of the genetic code in two manners: having more than one tRNA (with a specific anti-codon) for a particular amino acid; and 'wobble' base-pairing, i.e. permitting non-standard base-pairing at the 3rd anti-codon position. The record is from RNAcentral.
UGCUAUAGCUCAGUCGGUAGAGCAACUGAUUCGUAAUCAGUAGGUCGUAGGUUCAAUUCCUAUUAGCA